This 301-nucleotide ribosomal RNA is filed under the name uncultured bacterium. Its description in RNAcentral is "partial 16S ribosomal RNA". It matches the Rfam family "Bacterial small subunit ribosomal RNA", at positions 509 to 807 of the family's 1533-position model. The record is from RNAcentral.
CAGCCGCCACGGUAAUACGUAGGUGGCAAGCGUUGUCCGGAAUUAUUGGGCGUAAAGGGCUCGCAGGCGGUUUCUUAAGUCCGAUGUGAAAGCCCCCGGCUCAACCAGGGAGGGUCAUUGGAAACUGGGAAACUUGAGUGCAGAAGAGGAGAGUGGAAUUCCACGUGUAGCGGUGAAAUGCGUAGAGAUGUGGAGGAACACCAGUGGCGAAGGCGACUCUCUGGUCUGUAACUGACGCUGAGGAGCGAAAGCGUGGGGAGCGAACAGGAUUAGAUACCCCAGUAGUCCCUGUCUCUUAUAC